Long non-coding RNA from Lycium barbarum (goji berry), 742 nucleotides. RefSeq lists it as uncharacterized. Lineage: Eukaryota; Viridiplantae; Streptophyta; Magnoliopsida; Solanales; Solanaceae. The record is from RefSeq and is a predicted model, not a curated record. The transcript has 3 exons.
GCUAAGACAUUCCAUUUCUUAAGAAAGGCAUUGCAGCAAUGUUUUAGUAUAGAGAGGCUAUAUAUAUACGUACACUUCUUGUCAUCUCUGUUGGAGAAUUACUUUAGUAUGAAAUUGGCAGCAAAAAUUAAAUAAGUCACGAAGUGCAACAAAAUACGGAUUUUGCUAGCAAUCAUCGCUUGAUCUCGAAGUUCCAUUUUAUCGCAUUGUUAAAUUCGAGAUCUCUUCGAAGUGAAGUAGGGUGGAAGAAGAUCAUUUCUUGGAAUAUAAGAUUGGUGAAGCCCGAGACCUAAUUUAUGGUUAACUUGAGAAGCGACAAAGGUACAGAUACUCGAUUUGGUGAUCCUCCAGCUUAGGAUUUCUACUCAGCUGUCUUGGAGAGCUCCAUUGUUCCGGAACCUAGACUUUUGGUACAGAUCUUCUGAUGUAAUAAUAUGUUUAUCCAGGGGUACGGCGGGGCCCUGUCCCGUCAUAUUUUAUUAUCGAUACUCUUAGAGGUCUGUAGACAUAUGUGUGGGUUGUGUAUAAGUUUUGUUCAGCUGUGUCUAUACGAUUUGCUAUGGAUAUGUUCGUCUGUAGUGGCAGCCUUGUCGGCCUGCGUAUGGUAUUGAUAUGUAGUGGCAGCCUUGUCGGCUAGCACAUCAUAUUGACAUGUAGUGGCAGCCUUUUCGGCUUGCGUAUCACAUUAUGUUUUGAUUAGUUGUGAUUCCUCAGGAGACAGGUUAUCGGGAUAAAUAUAUAU